This 983-nucleotide long non-coding RNA is filed under the name Anas platyrhynchos platyrhynchos (common mallard). Its description in RNAcentral is "lncRNA (ENSAPLG00000025138.1)". Lineage: Eukaryota; Metazoa; Chordata; Aves; Anseriformes; Anatidae. The record is from RNAcentral.
CCCCUCUGUCCUAAUUAUACCCCUCCAUGCAAUACAUGACAUCUCACAAUUAUAUCAUUUACUUUUUUCUUCUGCUGCUUGCUUAAGAAUGCAAAUUGCUUUUUUAAAGAACAUGCAACCUAGCACCUUUCAAAUGUUUUAGCACACCUUUAUAGCAGGAUUAAAAAAAAUAAAAAUUAUUCCAGUGGGUUCACAUACUGAAAACCACUGUUGCCUCUCUCAAGGUAAAAUCUAUGUCUUCCAUUCCCCAUCCAUUCAAGAUCCAUUCAAGUAUUUCUGGAGAAGCACAGAUGAGAAAGACAGUUGUGGCCCCAGAAAGUUCACAAUCUCCUCCAGCCUGUAGGUGCUCCCCAGCAGAGGCAACCUGCAUGAAAAAGGGAGAUGAAGCAUCACUCCCUGCCCUAGAAGUCCCUAUGGUGCCAGCAGAGCAGGAGAGCAGAGGGAGCAGAACCAAGGCAUCACCUUCGGGGAGGACCCAGCACUCUCUCCCUUUCAUGCUAUUUUUGCUGAGGUUUGUUAAGGCAGGUCAAGUCAUGUGUUUCAGUGGCUUUUCUGCAAUUUAUCAGCUGUUCAGUGGGAUAAGAAUCCAGAGGGUACUAGUGCAAACUGUAACACUAUGCAUGCCUUGAGUCUAUGCCUAACACACAAGAAACACAGCAGAAGGAAAAUUAUUGCAUCAGAAAUCAUGACUUGUACCUUCUUGUUUAUGCACUUAAGUCUUUAUCCAUGGCCGUAUAGUGGAAAUUGAAAGCCUUGUCCUCACGCACCUCUUGUGUGGCACUCAGGCUUCAUUCGCACUGGUACCUAGCACUGUGUCGGGACUCAGCCCCACAGGCAGCUCAGCACCACACAGCUGUUUGCUCACUCCCCCCUCAGUGGGAAUGAGGGAGAGGAUUUGGGGAAAAGUAAACUCAUAGUUUGAGAUAGGACAGAAAAGGGAAAAUAAUAAUAAUGAUAAAAGAAUACACAGAACAAAUGAUGCA